UCCGGCGAUCCUCUUCCCGGUUACGGGUUAGGCUGUGCUGGAGGAAUCUGGAAGCCCCAAUCCUCCCGUUUCCAGGGCCCUGUCAAGGCCAGGUGGAGAGGCCCCUCAUGAGCGCACAGGCACACGACUAAAGGGUUACAGAGGGGAGGAGAGCCCAUAGCCACUGGGGGUCGCCCCCCAGAUGCACUCCCUGGACUGCGGGAACGAACGCCUGCAUUUCUCUCAGUGCUUUGGAAAUUCGACUGCAUUUUCGUUGCCAGUGGCAGUGGACGUGUCUACAACGACCAAUUACAAGCCCCAAGAGCAACACUAUCUAGGAUCCGACGGUGGCAUCAAGACUUCAUCCUGUAUCUGACCUCAGCCUAGCACACUCCAUUUUGUCAAAAAACGAAAUCAGGCCGUAGGCACAGACAGUGUGCAUGAGCUCUGUCCCGAAUCCGAGGAACACCGGGAGAAUUGUCUCGCGCUCCUCUCUGGACCUUUAGUCAGCGUCUCAGAUUUUCAAGGAAGCAAGGGACUGUGGAGGUCCUUUACUGGACAUUUUAGAGGACCGGUGACUCGGAGUUGCCCAUCACUAGGCCCAGGGGCUCCCCGGAAAAGGACAACUGCUUGCCCACCAGGUAGGGCCCAGACCCUCGACGAGCCACCUACUCUACCCUCGAACGACUGUGGGCCGUGACCUGCUGCCUCAUUGGUGUGUAAAUUCGAUUUCCAGUUUGCAUCUGCCUCAUUUACUAUCCCCUCCGCCUGAUUUCGUUCUGUCCCUGCACAGAGUUAACAAACGGGUGAGAGUGAGGCUCUGGGGUGCCCGUCGUCUGACCCGGGAUCUGGAGUCAGCUACAAUCCUAGGAUGGCGCUCGCCCCCUGUGAUCACCAGAACCAAGAGUUGGGGAAGUGUUGACUCCGAGUGUGCAGCCCGAGGUCGCGGGCGAUGGGUCUCCCGGGCUGAAGCAGUGACGGGAAACGCCCACUAGUUGGCGCUGGCGCCUUGCUGGCUGCUCAGUUGCCCCGCCAGGCUCAGGGCACAGAUGUGCGCCAGCUGCAGUGCCUUGGUUUUCCAAGCAGCCGGGCGCCGGGCGCCUGGAAAGAGCUGCUUUUUGGACAGAGUGUUCAUUCGCCUGACUCCACUGUAUCGGACAAACGGACGACCGCGGCCAAGGGCUGCUUGCUCCGGCUCUCAAGGGAUAGGUGCACUCCUCUGGAGUCUCAGACACCAAAGGGUCUGUGACUAAGAACUCUCUCCUACAAAAACGCACCGUUUCCUGAGCCUAGGACAGAAGGUUCAGACUUUCCUCUUUAGAUCCGUCUGGUACCCACCCAGCUUCCUUCUGCUGCUCUGGACUGACACAUCUAGAACUAUCUCAGCAGUGUCAAUUUUCAGACCUGGAGAGCUCCUGCCGCCAACCAGGACCCAUCAUAUCCUCUCCCUUCCCACUGUGCACGCACAUGAUCUGUCUCCCUUUCUGUCCUGCCGAUGGAGAGUCGGCUUUCUCUCAAAUGCCCCUAUCUAAGAGCACCUGGCUGUGUCCCCUGCAAGGCCAGGAGGCAGAGAUCGGAGCUCCUCUCUCACCUGUCUGUGCAUUGCUGGGUAAAUUGGACUAGCCUGGGUCGUCUACUGGGAGUGACCCCACCUAAGAGAGGGUUCUAAUGGUGUCGUGGCAGUGCAAUGCCGCCCUGUUUCCAGGAGGGGCUGAGUGGGUCCGAUUCCUUGGGAGUCUGGAGCCUGACUUAUUAUUAGUAGGUCUGUCUUCCUUUAUCACUCUGGUCCAGGGACCCUGCACCGAAUAUCCCUGAGCCUUCCUUUCAUCUGUACAGGGGAUAGCAGCUGCAUUGGGGAUAAUGUGUAAAGUGCUUGGCACAGGCCUGGCGCAGAGGGAUGCUCUAUCAUGCCAAAUUGUCUUUGGCAAGUGCCACACCCUCAACUGUGAAACAUCCAUCAGGUUGUAGUUUCCACACAGCUUGCCAGGACUCAGAGACCAGGCUAUGACCAUAGCCAUCUUGCCCUCCUUCCCCCUAGGCUAGCCUGAGGGCUACCUGGGAACUAAAGACUGUCUGGUGCCUGCCUUUAGACAGAGCCAGUACUGAAAGCAACCAACCUGCCCUCCAGGCUCCCAGUCUCUCACCACCACCCUUCCCGUAGCAGCACGGACAUAAGCAGCGAGUAAACACCAUCAUCAACAUCACCGUUCCUCCCACCCGCAGGUGUCUGUUCCUUUUAGGAACUGAAUUUCUCCAUUCUGGUCCUGGCACUCACGUAUGAGGGACCCAAUGUGGAGCCUGCCUCUAGCUUAGUUCCCGGAAUUCUCAGGGGAGAACUUCACUUCGACUAACUAACACCCUUUCAUUGAGAAGAGGAUAAGCGGUUCCUGCUGGGAGGGGAGGAGCCUCUGAAGGCUGAGAAAGAGAGAGCCGGAAAGAGCUGUUAGUAAACGGAUCUCUGCAUCCCGUUUUCAGAUGCGCGAUAUAAAAUAUCGAAAUACAAAGAUGUCGUGUAA
Mesocricetus auratus (golden hamster) is the source of this 2495-nucleotide long non-coding RNA. RefSeq lists it as uncharacterized. The transcript has 2 exons. The record is from RefSeq and is a predicted model, not a curated record. Lineage: Eukaryota; Metazoa; Chordata; Mammalia; Rodentia; Cricetidae.